GACGAACGCUGGCGGCGUGGAUUAGGCAUGCAAGUCGAACGGUAUCAUCCUUUCGGGGGUGAGAGAGUGGCGAACUGGUGAGUAACACGUAGGUUAUCUACCCUCAAGACGGGGACAACCCAGGGAAACUUGGGCUAAUACCGGAUGUGAGCAACUUUUAGUUGUUUGAAAGGUGGCGUAAGCUGUCGCUUGGGGAUGAGCCUGCGUCCUAUUAGUUAGUUGGUGAGGUAACGGCUCACCUAGGCAAUGAUAGGUAGGCGGCCUUAACGGGUGGUCGCCCACACUGGGAUUGAGAUACGGCCCAGACUCCUACGGGAGGCAGCAGUCGAGAAUAGUCUACAAUGGUCGGAAGACUGAUAGUGCGACGCCGCGUGAACGAUGAAUCCCUUCGGGGUGUAAAGUUCUUUUAUAUGUGAGCAGUGCUUCUUAUAUUAACAGUAUGGGGAAGAGAUAUUAGCAUAUGAAAUAAGCAACGGCUAACUCCGUGCCAGCAGCCGACGGU
RNAcentral lists this ribosomal RNA (502 nucleotides) under uncultured bacterium. RNAcentral describes it as "bacterial SSU rRNA". It matches the Rfam family "Bacterial small subunit ribosomal RNA", at positions 28 to 521 of the family's 1533-position model. The record is from RNAcentral.